RNAcentral lists this transfer RNA (80 nucleotides) under Dentipellis sp. KUC8613. RNAcentral's name for it is "tRNA-Ala". It matches the Rfam family "tRNA". From Rfam's summary of the family: Transfer RNA (tRNA) molecules are approximately 80 nucleotides in length. Their secondary structure includes four short double-helical elements and three loops (D, anti-codon, and T loops). Further hydrogen bonds mediate the characteristic L-shaped molecular structure. tRNAs have two regions of fundamental functional importance: the anti-codon, which is responsible for specific mRNA codon recognition, and the 3' end, to which the tRNAs corresponding amino acid is attached (by aminoacyl-tRNA synthetases). tRNAs cope with the degeneracy of the genetic code in two manners: having more than one tRNA (with a specific anti-codon) for a particular amino acid; and 'wobble' base-pairing, i.e. permitting non-standard base-pairing at the 3rd anti-codon position. The record is from RNAcentral. Lineage: Eukaryota; Fungi; Basidiomycota; Agaricomycetes; Russulales; Hericiaceae.
GGGCACAUGGUGUAGUUGGUUAUCACGCUCGCUUAGCAUUUGACUGCGAGAGGUGUCCGGUUCAAUUCCGGAUGUGUCCA